CUUUGAAGAUGAGUGAUUUAAACUACUGUGGUGAUCAACCUCUUUCACUUAAAACUUUGCUAAAAAUCCAAAUUGUCUUCAAAUCCAGCGAAACUUGUGCCUUUUAAAGCUUAGCUUAUAAAGCUUAAUGCUCCCAAAUUCUUAGAUCCUAAAUCAAAUCUUAAAUUAAAUCCUAGACAAAUCCUAAAUCCUAAAUCAAAUCCUAAAUCAAAUCCUAGAUAAAUCCUAAAUUAUUAAUAAAAUCCUAGAUUAAAUCUUAGACUCUAAACCAAAUCCUAAAUCAAAUCCUAAACAAAUCCUAAAACCUAAAUCAAAUCUUAGAUCAAAUCCUAGAUCCUAAACUAAAUUUUAAUCCUACUCAAUCUAAUCCUAGUAUAGAUUAAAACUUCC
Molecule: long non-coding RNA, 390 nt
Filed under: Physcomitrium patens
Lineage: Eukaryota; Viridiplantae; Streptophyta; Bryopsida; Funariales; Funariaceae
Description: long non-coding RNA (PPAT_LNC012724)
Source: RNAcentral